Molecule: ribosomal RNA, 119 nt
Filed under: Nicotiana attenuata
Lineage: Eukaryota; Viridiplantae; Streptophyta; Magnoliopsida; Solanales; Solanaceae
Description: rRNA 5_8S_rRNA
Rfam family: 5.8S ribosomal RNA
About the family: 5.8S ribosomal RNA (5.8S rRNA) is a component of the large subunit of the eukaryotic ribosome. It is transcribed by RNA polymerase I as part of the 45S precursor that also contains 18S and 28S rRNA. Functionally, it is thought that 5.8S rRNA may be involved in ribosome translocation.
Source: RNAcentral
GACUCUCGGCAACGGAUAUCUCGGCUCUCGCAUCGAUGAAGAACGUAGCGAAAUGCGAUACUUUGAACGCAAGUUGCGCCCGAAGCCAUUAGGCCGAGGGCACGUCUGCCUGGGCGUCA